RNAcentral lists this ribosomal RNA (377 nucleotides) under uncultured organism. Its description in RNAcentral is "partial 16S ribosomal RNA". It matches the Rfam family "Bacterial small subunit ribosomal RNA", at positions 527 to 897 of the family's 1533-position model. The record is from RNAcentral.
GUAGGUGGCAAGCGUUGUCCGGGAAUUAUUGGGGCGUAAAGCGCGCGCAGGCGGUUCUUUAAGUCUGAUGUGAAAGCCCCACGGGCUCAACCGUGGAGGGUCAUUGGAAACUGGAGAACUUGAGUACAGAAGAGGAAAGCGGAAUUCCACGUGUAGCGGUGAAAUGCGUAGAGAUGUGGAGGAACACCAGUGGCGAAGGCGGCUUUCUGGUCUGUAACUGACGCUGAGGCGCGAAAGCGUGGGGAGCAAACAGGAUUAGAUACCCUGGUAGUCCACGCCGUAAACGAUGAGUGCUAAGUGUUAGGGGGUUUCCGCCCCUUAGUGCUGCAGCUAACGCAUUAAGCACUCCGCCUGGGGAGUACGGCCGCAAAGGCUGA